Molecule: ribosomal RNA, 225 nt
Filed under: uncultured bacterium
Lineage: Bacteria
Description: partial 16S ribosomal RNA
Rfam family: Bacterial small subunit ribosomal RNA
Source: RNAcentral
CACACUGGGACUGAGACACGGCCCAGACUCCUACGGGAGGCAGCAGUGGGGAAUCUUGCGCAAUGCGCGAAAGCGUGACGCAGCAACGCCGCGUGGGUGAAGAAGGCCUUCGGGUUGUAAAGCCCUUUCAGUUGGGACGAAGCUUCGCCGGUGAACAGCCGGCUGGAGUGACGGUACCUUCAGAAGAAGCCCCGGCUAACUACGUGCCAGCCGCCGCCGUAACAC